Molecule: transfer RNA, 84 nt
Filed under: Felis catus (domestic cat)
Lineage: Eukaryota; Metazoa; Chordata; Mammalia; Carnivora; Felidae
Rfam family: tRNA
About the family: Transfer RNA (tRNA) molecules are approximately 80 nucleotides in length. Their secondary structure includes four short double-helical elements and three loops (D, anti-codon, and T loops).
Source: Rfam by way of RNAcentral
GCCUGGGUGGCUCAGUGGGUUAAGCAUCUGACUUCAGCUCAGGUCAUGAUCUGAGGUUUGUGAGUUCAAGCCCCACCUCGAGCU